Long non-coding RNA from Monopterus albus (swamp eel), 446 nucleotides. RefSeq lists it as uncharacterized. The record is from RefSeq and is a predicted model, not a curated record. NCBI's taxonomy places the organism in Eukaryota, Metazoa, Chordata, Actinopteri, Synbranchiformes, Synbranchidae. The transcript has 4 exons.
UUGAAAGCGGCUUCCGGAAGUUGCAUUUGACGUAAUGGCUGUUAGCUGGAUAGUGGUGACUGGACAGCCGGAGGAGGACCCGCGGGCGGUAUUUGCCAAUGCCAAGGACCGGUAGCUUCACCGGGGAGUUGUCAGCGCUGAGUGAACACUGAAAACGUGUCGUCUUGAAGGCUGUGACAGUUGAAUGUGUGCUGAUAAUGUUGGACGGUAAAACCUGAUGAAGUUCACCAGAGACAUCUGCCGGUUGCUGGGCUUAGGCGGCGAUGGGACAGGUGAGGAGGAGAUGGAGGUUCAGGAUGGACUUCCUGAUCCAGCCAACAAAAGAAAAGACCAAGGAUUAUCUCAGGCCUCACUGAACAAUGAGGAUGGCUGGGAUAAUGAAGAGAGAGCAAGGAGGAGGGCUGAGAGGAGGAGAGCUAAAAGGAAGAGGCAAAAAGAGCGAAAGA